This 644-nucleotide long non-coding RNA is filed under the name Fukomys damarensis (Damara mole-rat). RNAcentral describes it as "lncRNA (ENSFDAG00000027263.1)". The record is from RNAcentral. Lineage: Eukaryota; Metazoa; Chordata; Mammalia; Rodentia; Bathyergidae.
UCCUGUGUUAGAACUUUCAAGCAGUUCCUUUUUUAAAGCAACUUUCCCCCCCACAGUAUCCUGUUUCCUCAGAGGGGAGGUAGGCUGUCCACCCUCCGAGCUGUGAUUACCAGAGCCAGCUUCCCCUGAAGUCUUCACAUCUCCACAUCCAGCUAGCACACUGUUUCUGAAAAUGUCUAGGUCAGCCCUGAGGAAGACAGAGGGGAAGGCUCCUCAAAGCUCCAUCUUACUCAGGCUCCGGGGCGUGAAAGGUUUCCAUGGCAAGGGAAGGAGGCAGUGAGGCUGCAGUGUCUCCUUCUCAGCUUCACAAUGGAUUCCAACUUCCAGCUACUUCCUAAGGUAAGUUGUUACAUGGGUCAUCUGGGUUCCAGGACGCCAAGAAGGGUUUAGCAGUUACCAUCUAGAUAGGGCCUCCUCUUUAGACAAAGGAUUAGAGAGGGGUUGAAGGGCAAAAGAGAAGGGGAAGCCUCUGUUAUAACGUCAGUCUAGCAGCUAUCUGGAGAAGAGAGGCGCCGUCUCCAUCGGGUCCUCUCUGAUGACCUGCAGCUUGUGGAAAAUAACAGAAUCCAAUAUCAACGCACUAAAUUUUUAGGUAGUUUGUUACAUAGCAAUUGAUGAGCAAAAGAACUGUCAUUAAGCCAGGG